Molecule: ribosomal RNA, 440 nt
Filed under: uncultured bacterium
Lineage: Bacteria
Description: partial 16S ribosomal RNA
Rfam family: Bacterial small subunit ribosomal RNA
Source: RNAcentral
CCUACGGGUGGCAGCAGUGGGGAAUAUUGCACAAUGGGGGAAACCCUGAUGCAGCGACGCCGCGUGAGUGAAGAAGUACUUCGUUAUGUAAAGCUCUAUCAGCAGGGAAGAAAAUGACGGUACCUGAGUAAGAAGCCCCGGCUAACUACGUGCCAGCAGCCGCGGUAAUACGUAGGGGGCAAGCGGUAUCCGGAUUUACUGGGGGGAAAGGGAGCGUAGACGGCAGUGCAAGUCUGGGGUGAAAGGCGGGGGCUCAACCCCCGGACUGCUCUGGAAACUGUACGGCUGGAGUGCAGGAGAGGUAAGUGGAAUUCCUAGUGUAGCGGUGAAAUGCGUAGAUAUUAGGAGGAACACCAGAGGCGAAGGCGGCUUACUGGACUGUAACUGACGUUGAGGCUCGAAAGCGUGGGGAGCAAACAGGAUUAGAUACCCUAGUAGUC